CCUACGGGUGGCUGCAGUAGGGAAUAUUGGACAAUGGGCGCAAGCCUGAUCCAGCCAUGCCGCGUGAGUGAAGAAGGCCCUCGGGUUGUAAAGCUCUUUUGUCCGGAAAGAAAAGCAUUCGGUUAAUACCCGGGUGUUCUGACGGUACCGGAAGAAUAAGCACCGGCUAACUUCGUGCCAGCAGCCGCGGUAAUACGAAGGGUGCAUGCGUUACUCGGAAUGACUGUGCGUGAAUCGUGAAGUCGGGGGUGAAAGCCCUGGGCUCAACCUGGGAAUUGCAUUGGAUACUGGCAAGCUAGAGUGCGGCAGAGGGUAGUGGAAUUCCUGGUGUAGCAGUGAAAUGCGUAGAGAUCAGGAGGAACAUCCGUGGCGAAGGCGACUGCCUGGGCCAGCACUGACACUGAGGCACGAAAGCGUGGGGAGCAAACAGGAUUAGAUACCCCAGUAGUC
Molecule: ribosomal RNA, 450 nt
Filed under: uncultured bacterium
Lineage: Bacteria
Description: partial 16S ribosomal RNA
Rfam family: Bacterial small subunit ribosomal RNA
Source: RNAcentral